AGACUUCUACACUAGAAGCUAGUAACAUCCCAUCCAUCCAUCCACCAAAUAAAGUUCCACAUAUGGUGUGAACUCUCUCUCCGAAUGUAUCCUUGCAAAAGAGACAUGAGCUAUGCAAAAAGAAAUAAAGCCAUGCUCAAAGCAUGAUGAAAAAAGAGAGAAAAAGAUAAAAAGAUAGCCCAUGUCCAAAAGAAAGAGAAAAGGAGAGAUGGAAUCAUACAAAAGGAGUCUAUGUACCAU
RNAcentral lists this long non-coding RNA (240 nucleotides) under Setaria italica (foxtail millet). RNAcentral's name for it is "long non-coding RNA (SITA_LNC003023)". The record is from RNAcentral. Lineage: Eukaryota; Viridiplantae; Streptophyta; Magnoliopsida; Poales; Poaceae.